Phrynosoma platyrhinos (Desert horned lizard) is the source of this 71-nucleotide non-coding RNA. The record is from the annotation of a GenBank genome assembly. Lineage: Eukaryota; Metazoa; Chordata; Lepidosauria; Squamata; Phrynosomatidae.
GCCAACGUAGCAUAGUGGUUUAAGUGCUGGACUAGGACUCUGGAGACCAGGGUUCAACUGCUGGCUUGGCC